GGCUCAGAACGAACGCUGGCGGCGCGUCUUAAGCAUGCAAGUCGAGCGGGAUUGAGUAGCUUGCUAUCAUGAGAGCGGCGGACUGGUGAGUAACGCGUGGGUGACGUACCCUUAGACGGGGAUAGCUCCUAGAAAUAGGAGGUAAUACCGGAUACGAUAGUGAGUGUCAGAGGCUCAUUAUGAAAGGUUCUUUUGAACCGCUGAAGGAGCGGCCCGCGUACUAUUAGCUGGUUGGUGAGGUAACGGCCCACCAAGGCGACGAUAGUUAUCCGGCCUGAGAGGGUGAACGGACACAUUGGGACUGAGAUACGGCCCAGACUCCUACGGGAGGCAGCAGCUAAGAAUAUUCCGCAAUGGACGAAAGUCUGACGGAGCGACGCCGCGUGGAUGAUGAAAGGCCGGAAGGUUGUAAAAUCCUUUUAGAUAUGAGGAAUAAGCAGGGUGAGAGAAACGCCCUGUGGUGACUGUAGUAUCAGAAUAAGGGGCGGCUAAUUACGUGCCAGCAGCCGC
RNAcentral lists this ribosomal RNA (510 nucleotides) under uncultured bacterium. RNAcentral's name for it is "bacterial SSU rRNA". It matches the Rfam family "Bacterial small subunit ribosomal RNA", at positions 21 to 518 of the family's 1533-position model. The record is from RNAcentral.